UGCCUGCUUUACCACUUCCAAAGCCCUUCCUGCAGCUGUGUGCUUCACCUUUCCCCAGUGCUGAACUAGCAAGACUGGAGCUGUGGGAGGAGAGGAGGGAGAGGACAGUGCUGAAAUCGGAGGGGCCAGUAAACACCUGAGCGGCUGGAAUGUGCUCUCUUGGCUGGAGAACAAGCAUGGCAAGCAAGGAGUCCACAGGAACAGAAGUCCCAGGGAGUCCUGGGCAGUUUUUUUGCCAUCUUUAUCCUGUGGAGAAUCACAGCACACAUGCAAAGAUGAUGUGUGAAUUCAUGAGGGACUCCAUGGCAUCUGUGAACAUCUGUGUCAAGGUUUUGCUUUUCCAUGCAACCCUAAAGAGUGGACACAAAAGACAUAUAUUUGCUUGA
Molecule: long non-coding RNA, 386 nt
Organism: Zonotrichia albicollis (white-throated sparrow)
Lineage: Eukaryota; Metazoa; Chordata; Aves; Passeriformes; Passerellidae
Source: Ensembl